This is a non-coding RNA of Nothobranchius furzeri (turquoise killifish), 3419 nucleotides long. NCBI's taxonomy places the organism in Eukaryota, Metazoa, Chordata, Actinopteri, Cyprinodontiformes, Nothobranchiidae. The record is from RefSeq and is a predicted model, not a curated record.
GUGUGUGUGUGUGUGUGUGUGUGUGUGUGUGUGUGUGUGUGUGUGUGUGUGUGUGUGUGUGUGUGUGUGUGUGUGUGUGUGUGUGUGUGUGUGUGUGUGUGUGUGCGUGCGUGGGUGCGUGCGUGCGUGCGUGUUGGAUGUGAAUAAAUCAGUGUGCCCGUGUUUGUCCCUUGUCUUUCCCGAUGUGUGUAUGUGCAUGUGGAAAUGUGCACAUUUUUGUGUACGAGCUGAUGUUACGAGUGGGCUCAUUGAUCUGCUGCAUCAGCAUCUUUCCACAUGUGGAUGUUUGUGGCAAGCUGAGCAGUUUCUGGCAUUAUACAUUGAUUGAUGAGCAGAGAACUCCUCUACCUUAUCGCUUCUCCGGUUUUCCGGCUGCUUCUCUCUGCUCUGGAUUCAUGGAAAAUCAUGGGACGUUUUUUUCAAGGGAGGAGCAGAAAUUGAACCCUCAAGUGUCAGCAUAGAAUUCAAGGGUGAAUUCAAGGUUCUGGGCUGACUCUUUUCCUGUCAAUGCAUCUUUGAAGAAGGUGACUUCUGGCUGCAGCAACAUUUUAAUGACUUCCUGCUGCCACUUUCUCUUUCUGUGAAACCGUCCAGGCUGCUGCGCAGAGCCCUUAACCUCCUGACCUCUCGCUGCUUCUCGGCAUCUUCUCAUCGUCUUCUCCCUCCAUAACUCAGUUACGCCAUCUGUCAACGAAAUGGAACGCUAAAACCUCUUUUGCUGUAACUUCAUUUCUUUCACAUCCUCCAGCUUGCGCUCACGUGGUUCUUUUUUAACAACUUCUUUCUUUCCCAGCUUGUUGCCUCAUAGUCUUCCCAUCCCAUUUUAGGAAAAUGUCUUGGCUUGCAGCUGUUUCACGUGCACCCUGCGUGUCCAUGUGGGUAUGUGCUGAAACACGACCUUAUGCCUUUAAAACUCUCUCAUGUGUCAGUGCGAUGUGCCAAGUAAUUCAACAGCGAGAGGUGGCAUCUGUCCAAGCCACCGUGGGUGUCGGACUGUCAGAGGGACAGAAAGAGCGGGCUGUUCCAUUCAGAGGACUCAAGGAUCCGUGUUGCGUCACACACACAGAAGACUGCUGAAGGGACAGCCGUGAUGGGACUCUCACUUUGCUUUAAAGCUCUCAUCAUGGCAGCACAACGGUCAAAUUUACCAAAUCGUCGUAGGGAUGUGGAGGAUGCCUUUAACCGCUGAGCAGAAUCCAGCCGACAGAACUGCUAUGGAUGGAAAGACGAACGCCAAUAUCUCACUGAGAGUUUGUUUUAAAAGUUCUCCAUGCCUCUCAACUGGAGUCCCAUGUUUGAUGGCGUGGGGAGGAGUCGGCAACUGGUUUGCAAACAAAAUAAGAUCAAUCUGAGACACAGUUCAGACAAUCUGUGAUUAAACUGGAACAGGAACACUUGUUGUUCAGGUGAACCAGUUGUGUAUAAAACUCGUCACAAUAUGGAAGAAAAAGUAAUUUAGAGUUUCUCCGGCUAGUCUCAAAGUCAGAGUCCAGUCAGUCCACUGGUCUGAACCAUUUCACCUUGGGCCUGUACUGAUAUAGUGCCUUAUAGGGUUCUGCAACCCCCCAAGGUGCUUCACAACACAAUCAGUCAUCCACCCAUUCACACGAUGGUGGGGAUGAGUUAUGAUGUAGCCACAGCUGCCCGGGAGCACACUGAACACUGGCACCACGGUCCCUCCGACCACCACCAGUAGGCAAGGCAGGUUGAGUGUCUUGCCCAAGGACACGACAGCAGCAUUCUCUGGUCGGAGCUGGGAUGGAUCCCACAACCCUCUGGUUACUGGGCAACACGCUCUACCUCCUGAGCUCCUGCUGCACUGCUGCUACCUUCCCUAUUAGGCUGGAGGGUUUGUCACAAUGAGACACUGAUGGGUCCUUCGAAGGUCACACUUUACUCCUGUGGUAGCGUUUCUGACAUGCCCUGCCUAAACUCCUAAAAGAUCUAACACAACCUAAAAGACUGGUUUCCAUGACUUUCAUUCAUACUAAUGAUCAGUAAAGAGUGAAUAUUAAAAAAUGAGAUAUUCCAGGAAGUCCAAAUGUAAUAUUUCUCGCUGAAAGGGUUUUUAACUUAUACACGUAACCCGGCAUUUCCACGGCACACGUAAGCAUCACAGCAUGUCCCUUCCCACCGGGAACGUUUCAGAUGCACAUCAGCAGCAAAAGCGAUCCACACAGCUGGUCCCAUGUGGUCACAAAAUCAAAAGAGAAUAUGAAGAUCACGCGUGGUUUCAGCCGUUCGUGCGACUAGCAAGUAGAAAGACGGCAGCAUGUAUCCAAAAUGUCUGGAGUUUAUUUUCUGUUCUGUAUACCUCGGCAGUGGAGGCUUCACAGAAAGAGUCGGUACGACGUGUUGCUGCCAGGACCAAAGGCAGCUGUCCUGCAGCUUAAGCAGAUGAACCUCCGACUCUGAAUCUGGCAGUCGGCGAAUGAAGAAUAACCACGAUGAGCCGUGUGCAAGAAGGGAACACCGUGCUGUUUGUGUUCAAGCUUGAUGAACUAAAACUGCUUCAAGACGAGUUGUCACCUUCAAGUUAAGAAUUGCUUUCAGAGACUUAACCAGAGCAGCGUUAUUUAUUUAUUUACUUAUUUAUUAAUUUAGUUAUUUAGUUAUCUAACCUUCCAUUUUUAUCCAAAGUCCUGGAGAAAAUAGUGGCCAUCCAAGUAUGUGAGCAUUUAAACACUAAUGCUCUGUUUGAGGAAUUUCAGUCUGGUUUUAGAGAGUAUCACAGCACUGAAACUGCGUUAGUGAGAGUUACAAAUGAUAUUCUCAUGGCCUCAGAUAAGAAUCUUGUGCCUGUUCUAGUCUUGUUAGAUCUCAGUGCUGCCUUUGACACAGUUGAUCACAAUGUUCUUUUAGAAAGACUUGAACAUGUUGUAGGGAUCAAAGAAACAGCGCUAGGCUGGUUUAAAUCCUACCUGUCUGACAGAUUUCAUUUUGUAAAUGUACAUGACAAAUCGUCUUCAUACUCCAGAGUUACUUGCGGAGAACCACAGGGUUCAGUGCUUGGACCAAUUCUUUUUACUAUACUCCCAAUUGGUAAAAUCAUUAGACAGCAUGGGAUAAACUUCCACUGUUAUGCUGACGAUACUCAGUUAAAUUUAUCCAUUAACCCUGAUUAACCUAAUCGGUUAGGUAGAUUACAGGCUUGUCUUGAGGACAUAAAAAAUUGGAUGACUCUAAACUUUUUGCUUUUAAAUCAAGACAAGACGGAAGUUCUUAUCUUUGGACCAGAAAUCCAGAAAAGGAAAUUGCUUAGCCAAUCGCCUGACCUGAAUGGCAUUACAUUAAUCUCCGAGAAUUAGAUUAGAUUAGAUUAGAAGCAUCCUUUCCAGGAGUGAUGCUGAAAAACUAGUUCAUGCAUUUAUUACAUCAAGACUGGAUUACUGUAAUUCAUUACUCUCAGGAAGUCCACA